Molecule: long non-coding RNA, 830 nt
Organism: Armigeres subalbatus
Lineage: Eukaryota; Metazoa; Arthropoda; Insecta; Diptera; Culicidae
Exons: 2
Source: RefSeq, a predicted model, not a curated record
UAACAUUGGGAUACACAUUUUAGGAGUACUUUCAAAUCACUUUAGAGAAUAUCGCCUAUACGUCAAAAAAUGCAUACUUUUUAGGUAUAGUUGAGGAGUAUUAUUUACGCUUUUUGAAGUAUGCAUACAAAACUUAAAAUGCGUAAAAAGUAACCUAUAGUGAGAAAAGAAAAUUUCCGGUCUGUUGUCAUUACCAAAAUUAGCUUUUACGGCUGUUGUCAAUUUAUUUGCUAAAUUAUUAACAUUUUAAAUGUUUUUCGAUCGAGGCUUCGAUGCUGAGCGGUAUAUAGGGAGAUUGUGCAAAACUUGUAAGUAACAAAGUAAUCCAUUUGCCUUCAAGUUUUCUGAAUCCAUCAUUUUCAAUCGAAAGGUCUUUAUUGUCCUAUGGCCGGAUACCCCAGCAAAUCAACCGGAUCCUCAUAUCAGGAACCAAUUAUUAGUUCCUGCUCAUAUGACGAUGCUCAAGGCCGAGCUCAAGGCUUAUGUAUUCUGUGAGCUCCUCCGUUUGCUCUGUAAUGAAAGCGAGCUACGACAAGGAUUCUGGACAAAAGUUUCUUCACUUAUAACUAACUGACUCGGCAGACGUUAUCAUGAAUAGUGAUAAAUAUUCUCCGACAAAAUUUGCUGAAGGAAUGAGGAAAAUCUAUCCAGCCGUUUCAAAGUUAUUCGGAUUCGACCACAAAGAUUAUUCCUAAUAUUUGAUGUAUAUGAUACACUCAUUUAGUUUAUUCAUAAAGUGCAGUAUAAGCACGAACUCUGAAAUGUUAUAAUUAUAAAACUACGAAAAUAAAUAACUAAAAAGAUGUCACUGUUACAUCUAUUGAAUGAAA